UCCCUGUUACCAGGGCAGUCUGAUUAGAAAAAUUCAACUAAUCACAAGGGUUGCGCUCGUUGAUGGACUUAACCAAACAUCUCACGACACGAGCUGACGACGGCCAUGCAUCACCUGUCACUUGGUUCUAAAAGCACAUUUUCCUUUCGGAAAACUUCCAAGGAUGUCAAACCUGGGUAAGGUUCUUCGCUUACCAUCGAAUUAAACAACACACUCCACCGCUUGUGCGGGUCCCCGUCAAUUCCUUUAUGUUUUAGUCUUGCGACCGUACUCCACAGGCGGGAUGCUUAACGCGUUAGCUUCGCUACAUCCGGGGUCGAUACCGGAUACAGCUAGCAUCCAUCGUUUACGGCGUGGACUAC
This 362-nucleotide unclassified non-coding RNA is filed under the name uncultured bacterium. RNAcentral describes it as "contains 16S-23S intergenic spacer region". The record is from RNAcentral.